RNAcentral lists this ribosomal RNA (518 nucleotides) under uncultured bacterium. RNAcentral describes it as "bacterial SSU rRNA". It matches the Rfam family "Bacterial small subunit ribosomal RNA", at positions 28 to 526 of the family's 1533-position model. The record is from RNAcentral.
GACGAACGCUGGCGGCGUGCCUAAUACAUGCAAGUCGAGCGGAGUUUCAAGAAGCUUGCUUUUUGAAACUUAGCGGCGGACGGGUGAGUAACACGUGGGCAACCUGCCCCUUAGACUGGGAUAACUCCGGGAAACCGGAGCUAAUACCGGAUAAUCCCUUUCUCCACCUGGAGAGAGGGUGAAAGAUGGCUUCGGCUAUCACUAAGGGAUGGGCCCGCGGCGCAUUAGCUAGUUGGUAAGGUAACGGCUUACCAAGGCAACGAUGCGUAGCCGACCUGAGAGGGUGAUCGGCCACACUGGGACUGAGACACGGCCCAGACUCCUACGGGAGGCAGCAGUAGGGAAUCUUCCGCAAUGGACGAAAGUCUGACGGAGCAACGCCGCGUGAGUGAGGAAGGCCUUCGGGUCGUAAAGCUCUGUUGUGAGGGAAGAAGCGGUACCGUUCGAAUAGGGCGGUACCUUGACGGUACCUCACCAGAAAGCCACGGCUAACUACGUGCCAGCAGCCGCAGUAACAC